UCACAACAUACACCGUCAGAUUGACAUUCCAAUUGAAAUUUUCGCGAACAAUUCACUCAAUUGCGUCCUGGUGAAUUCUGUUGCAAGUCGCGGGGAAUAUCUACCAUUUUUGGCCGAGACCGCAGCACACGAACCAUCUUUGUGAACCGGUAAAGUGGAAGCAGAAGCGAAAUGUCCUUGAACACGGCUCACGCCAAUAAUGGCGUAUUAAUUCACGCUGGAGAAUACAUUCUAUUGUUCAGCGAUAAUGUCAGCAUGGAAUUUUCUGGUCAAGACAGUCCUGUCUUCAAGGGAUCCAAAACCGGAAAGAUAUACCUAACGACACAUCGCAUGAUCUUCAAUGCGAAACAUCAAAGUGAUCCUCUCCAAUCAUUCAGCUUUCCGUUUAUCUCCCUCAGCGAUGUGGACAUAGAGCAACCAACAUUCGGAUCAAAUUACAUCAAAGGCAAAGUUCGUGCUCAGCCUAAUGGCAAUUGGAUCGGCGAAGCGAAAUUCAAGUUGUACUUCAAAUCCGGUGGUGCGAUUGAUUUUGGACAGGCAAUGCUGCGGGCAGCUCGUAUGGCUCAACGUAACUUCAACAAUGAUGCUCCACCACCGUACACACCACCGACGGGUGGUUGGUAUCAGGCGCCUCCGCCAGCUUAUGCACCGAAUCCUCAAGGCUACUAUGGAUGGGUACCACCGACACAGGCAUUCCCGAAUGGACCACCACCAAAUACAGUCUUUAUGACUGAUAAUCCUCCACCAUAUCCAGGAAUAGUUCCGCCUCCUCAAGCUCAAGGGUAUCCGAACGUUCCAAAUACACAAGCCGGCUCUACGACAUAUAACGGCUGGGACCCGAUUCCGGAUAGGCGACAGCCAGCAAUGGGUCCGGGCUCAAAUUUCCCUGCACCUGAACCACUAGGAGCAGGGGGAUAUCCACCUCAGGCGGGUGGUUAUCCACCUCAGGCGGGAGGUUAUGCACCUCAAGCAGGUGGUUAUCCACCUCAAGCAGGUGGUUAUCCACCUCAAGCAGGUGGUUAUCCACCACAGGCGGGCGGAGGUUAUCCGCCACAAUCAUCGGGAGGUUAUCCACCACAACAACCGGGAGGUUACCCACCACAGCAACCGGGAGGUUACCCACCACAGCAACCGGGAGGUUAUGCACCACAGCAACCUGGAGGAUAUCCACCGCAGGGACCUUCGCGUCCAAACAUGUUCUAAAGGAAAUUGAAAUUGUUAAUACGUAACUGAAUCGCAUCAUCCCUUCUAACGACUAUAAACUUGCAGACAAUUGGAUUUACAGGCCACCCAACAAGCCCUGGUGGAGAAAAUUUUAGCGAAUUAAUGAACUCUUUGGAACCCAAGAAGCGAAUCGCUCAACACUAGUAGGACCUUUGCAAAUAAAUGGAGUCCAAUUUGUCUAACUGGAAGGUACUGUACACAGUUGAGGGAGCUUGAAUAUAGUUUUUGUUUCACUUUGGUUCCCUUUAGUUUGGUUGUUCACUCUCUUGCGCUAAAUACUAACACACACCUAUUUGUAACUUUCCGGAGGAUGUGGUGCAUAAUUUCGUAGCAUGUAACUCUUAGAGCAGUUGCAUUACCUUGCAAAGCACAUUCAAGAAAAAAA
Hermetia illucens (black soldier fly) is the source of this 1609-nucleotide RNA transcript. It is a transcript of the gene named WW domain-binding protein 2, with no coding region annotated. The record is from RefSeq and is a predicted model, not a curated record. The transcript has 6 exons. Lineage: Eukaryota; Metazoa; Arthropoda; Insecta; Diptera; Stratiomyidae.